RNAcentral lists this long non-coding RNA (3538 nucleotides) under Mus musculus (house mouse). RNAcentral describes it as "long non-coding RNA chr6:141442359-141445897". Lineage: Eukaryota; Metazoa; Chordata; Mammalia; Rodentia; Muridae. The record is from RNAcentral.
AGUGGAAAUGACUCAGUAACUUGCAAUUAUUUUUGUGAAGUAUUGAAGCUCAUUAGGACACAGUCUGGGGCUGUAUUUAGCUUUCUCCCAUAUUAAAUUGAAUUGUCUUUAAUCUGCUAUCAAAGCCAGUACUUGCAGGGAUUUUCUGCCUGUCUUUUGUUCUCUGUUUUGAAAGGUGUUCUCUAUUUGUUCUUUGCUCAUAGUUUAACAAAGAAGCUUACACAAUGUUUCACUUCUCAUCUCCUUAAGACCAAAUAAAACUGAAAUUGACUAAAAUAAUAGCUAACAAAAAUUCAAAGCAAAUUUUGUUCAUAUCCUCUCUCCAGAUACCAAGGGUGGGAAUACUGGCAACCAGCAAUGUUUAAUGUUUUAUGAUACUAAGCUUCUGGAACUGAUUUUCCCUUCUUUGUAUAGAUACUUUGUUUUAAGUAUCUAUAAUUUUGGCUCUCUGUAUUCCUUAAAUUGACCUUUAUUGCUGUAACAAGGGCUUCUGAAAGCAUUGACUGAACCUAUCAUUAUGACCAUGUGGAGGAAAGGAAUCUCUGACAAAAAUUUCAAGUGACUCAUAUCUGACGUAUUUACUGAUUUCUCUUUACACAGCCAGCCAUUGAUGAUAACAGUCAAGAAUAGAAGACAUUUCUUUAAUUAUUCCUAAAAGGUCCCACUUCUUCCUGUUCACUAUAUUUUGAGCCACUGAGGUCUUUUAACUUGAAGAUAAUCAUAUUUUAAUUGUCUCUCAAUAAUCCUAAUAUAAGAUUAUAACUCAAGCCAUUUCCUCAAACUGAAGCCUUUGACUCAGAUUUGUAGACAGAUACAAUAUAAAAUUUUAUUUUAUUGUAACCUAAUACAUAAAUGAAGACAAUCACCUUACUAAAACCACAGAUGGUUCUAGAAAGUACCAAAACUUUUGCUUCCAAGGGAGAAUGGUAGGAAGAUUUCCCUUAUAUAUGAAAGCAGAGAAUAGGAAUAGAGAAAAGGCCUUCCUUCCUUCUUUUCUUCCCUCUUUUCUUUCCUUCCUCCCUUCUUCCUUUCAUACUUAUUUUCCUUCCUUCUUCCCUCCCUCCUUCCCUUUCUUCCUUCAUUCUUAGAAGUUUUGAGAUAGUCUCACACAGAAUGGCCUGAACUAUGUAACCACAAUCUUGUCUCUUGCUUCCUGGCAAUAUUUAUCCCUCAGCCCAGCAAUACAGAUAUGAAUCAUGACACCAGGCACACAUAGCCUGGUUUUCAAUUGAGAGCUAUUAAUACUGCCUUUCCUAAAACUUUGUGCUUGAGAGAGUCUAAUUUGGCAUUUCCAAAGAAAAUGUGGAGAAAGGGAGGAUACUGUGAAAUCUUGGCAUUUGCUGAUGACGUUCACAGGUUGAUAGUGAGAGCCAAAGCUCGAGAAGAUUAAUUAGAAGAGUGUAGCAAGAGCAUGAAAUGAAUUGGCAAAAAUAAUUUUGUAUUAACCACGACAGGUAACUGCAGUAUUCCCACUGAGAACAGCUAAUGCAGCCUUGAGACCACCACACAACCGGUAACAAAUGGCAGCAUCCCUAACUAUAGGCACAGAGCUUUUCUUGCCGUGCACAAAGUUUAAGAUUCUGAAAGUCAUAAGUCCUUCCUUUUAUCAUGACAGUUUCAGAACAGGGAAUUGCAUUUUGGAAAGUUGAAAAAGGAUCAAAGGUAUCCAAAGUUUUCAUUUUAUAAUUAUUGUUAUUUUGCCUAUCAUUUUAAAACAUUUUUUUUUGUUUUGAAGAAAAGAAGAAAGAAAAAAGGAAGAAAGGCAAGAAAGGAAAAGAAAGGAAGGAGGGGAAGGAAGGAGGGAGGGAGAGAAAGAAGGAAGAAGGGAGAGAGGGGAAAAAAGGAGGAAGGCAAAGGAAAGGAAUGUCACUGUGCUUAUGAUGUGUCUACAUAAGCUCACCAAGCAUCAUCUAUAGCAUAAUUUUGUUAGGAAACAAUCUUAGAUUCUAAUAUUUGUUAUUCAUAUGUUUUGAAAUUUGAUUUCUCUAUAAAUCCACAAAGCUUUCUUCUUAAUGCAAAGUAUAUUUUAUUAAUUGUGAAAAUUGAAUUGGUUGCUUUUUUAUAGAUUAAUGGAGUAUUUUUGAAGUGCUUUUCUUGUAUUAGAACAAUUGAGGACAUUGGUACCCUUCAUUGUUGUUGUACCUUUUUGAUUUCAAACAAGAACAUUUCAUUGAGGCUGUUGGUCAGAAUCAUGGAUUUUUGUAUGCUCACAAGUGACUUGUUCACAUAUUUUGUUGUGAGUCCUGGAGAUCCUGAAAAUAUUUCUAGAGGAAAGAACUAAGAAAAUAUUAUAGAAAGAGAAGAUAAAAGUAAAAAAGGCUACAAGAACAAAUGUAUUGACUUUUCUGUACCUGAUGGGUUCCGGGGUACCUUUGAUUCACCUUGAUGCCAACUUUAGAAGAAUCUAUUUUCACUGGAGUUGCAAGUGCCAUUGUUUCCUAUGCUUGAUGUUCAUCUGAGUUACUUUUCUGUUGCUGUGAAAAAUUACCAUGGCCUAGACAACUUAUAGAAGAAAGAGUUUAUUUGGGCUUAUGGUUCAGAGGGAUGGGAGUCCAUCAUGGCAGAGAAAAGUGUCAAGAAAGCUCUUAGUCUGCAGAGGAGCAGGAAGAUGAAUGCUCAUAUUAUCAAACCCAAGUAUAAGAAGAGAGUGAACUGUAAAUAGGGUAAGACUGUGUAAUCUCAAAGUCUGUCCACAGCAGUGCCUAUUUUCCAGCAAAGCUGCACUGCCCAAACCUACCCCAAAUAGUACUGCCUUCUGGAGCCAAGUAUUUAGAUCAAGACCUUGAGGGACAGUUCUCAUUCAAACCACUAGUGUGUUCUUGCAGCCUUGGACACAGCCAUCUUGAAGUCUGGCCUCUUAAGUUUCUGUGAAGUUGAUUUUCUGAUAAUAAAAACCAGAAGUCUUCAGUGCCUAGUACACAGAUCUGUGAAAGCAAACCUUUAUUUUUCUUGUACAAUCCAAGGCUUGAUAAUCAGUUUUUCUGUUACCUGUUCAUUAGUCAACGAGCAUGCUCUUUACCUCAUCACAUCUCUAGGACAGUUAGCCAGGCAUCUUUCUUCAUCCUUGCCUGACUUCAGUCAUGUACUUCUUGGUUUUUGCUUUUUAUUUUUAAGAAUUAAUUUAUUUUAAUAAUGUAUAUGUAAGUGUGCUCAUGAAGGCAUGAGCACUCUAAUGCAAAGCUUUGAUCACCCACUCCAUUGACCCCACACAUUUCUUCAGUGAUAUGUAACCCAUGAACCUCAUACACAUGGAUUCCUUUGGGCUCCAUCUGAUGAAGCUUUCCUGUCUCCAUGGUUUUGAACAUGAGAGCAACUAACUCCUCUCCUCAUACAUAAUGCUCACACCACUCACUGUUCUGCAGGGUUCUUCAUUGCACUUGGGAGGUUAACCAAAGAUCGUGAUUGUGGCUUCCAUUGCUGCUGAGAUAUAGUUUCUUCAACUUCAUGCUCAUCCUUUCUACCUGAGGUGCUCAAAGUUCACCAUGAAAAUUGUACCCAAAGUACCAUAUUUUUUUUCCUCUCCCUAGAGGCCCACUAA